AGCCGGACGGUUGCACCCUACGGGUGAGGAAAGUCCGAGCAUCACAGGGCAGAGUGGCAGAGAAAUCCUGCCGGAGGCAACUCCAGGGAAAGUGCAACAGAAAAGAACCGCGGCGCAAGCCGUAAGGGUGAAAAGGUGCGGUAAGAGCGCACCGGCAGUUCGGCGACGAAAUUGGCCGUGUAAACCCCGCUCGAUGCAAGAGAAAAGGAAGAAUGGAUCGCCCGUCCCUUCCCUCAAUCGCUGGAGUCCGCAGGCGACUGCGGACCAAGACAGAUGACCGUCCUCGACAGAACUCGGCUUACAGGCUAACCC
Molecule: RNase P RNA, 312 nt
Filed under: chicken gut metagenome
Description: Bacterial RNase P class A
Rfam family: Bacterial RNase P class A
About the family: Ribonuclease P (RNase P) is a ubiquitous endoribonuclease, found in archaea, bacteria and eukarya as well as chloroplasts and mitochondria. Its best characterised activity is the generation of mature 5'-ends of tRNAs by cleaving the 5'-leader elements of precursor-tRNAs.
Source: RNAcentral